GAUGAACGCUGGCGGCGUGCCUAAUACAUGCAAGUCGAGCGAACGGACGAGAAGCUUGCUUUUCUGAUGUUAGCGGCGGACGGGUGGGUAACACGUGGAUAACCUACCUAUAAGACUGGGAUAACUUCGGGAAACCGGAGCUAAUACCGGAUAAUAUUUUGAACCGCAUGGUUCAAAAGUGAAAGACGGUCUUGCUGUCACUUAUAGAUGUAUCCGCGCUGCAUUAGCUAGUUGGUAAGGUAACGGCUUACCAAGGCAACGAUGCAUAGCCGACCUGAGAGGGUGAUAGGCCACACUGGAACUGAGACACGGUCCAGACUCCUACGGGAGGCAGCAGUAGGGAAUCUUCCGCAAUGGGCGAAAGCCUGACGGAGCAAAGCCGCGUGAGUGAUGAAGGUCUUCGGAUCGUAAAACUCUGUUAUUAGGGAAGAACAUAUGUGUAAGUAACUGUGCACAUCUUGACGGUACCUAAUCAGAAAGCCACGGCUAACUACGUG
RNAcentral lists this ribosomal RNA (497 nucleotides) under uncultured bacterium. Its description in RNAcentral is "partial 16S ribosomal RNA". It matches the Rfam family "Bacterial small subunit ribosomal RNA", at positions 28 to 507 of the family's 1533-position model. The record is from RNAcentral.